CGCCUCGAGCCCAAGCCAAUUAUUUUAUCAUCAUGAUUUUUAAUCUCGCUAGCGACGCUCAAUGCCUCAAUUAUUCUAGGCUUGUAGCCGACGUCGCCAUGUACCGUCACGCGACCGAUCUAUACCGUAAGAGCAAGGAGGGGGCCGGCCGGCAAACCCGGCCCCCGUGCCGGGCCACGCCACGCGCCUCGUCGGCCUUGCGAUGGAGAUGACGGGAACGCCCCCGGUGACCCUGACGUGGUGAGUCCUGCAGCCGGGUUAAACCGUCAUUUUCAAAAGAAGUUUUAUGGAUAAUAAAUAAGCUGUCACAUAGAUAAUUUUAAUGACAUGACACACUAUUAUUUAUAAGGUAAAAGAAAAGAGUGAUUUUCACGAUCUUUGUAUCUUACAUGUAGUCUUAAAACAUUAAAAAAUGAAACUAUACAUUGAACGAGCUAUUUUAUCUAUAAACUAAAGAGCUAUUUUAUCUAUAAACUAAAUACAUUCAAGCUUACUUAAC
Molecule: long non-coding RNA, 499 nt
Filed under: Setaria viridis
Lineage: Eukaryota; Viridiplantae; Streptophyta; Magnoliopsida; Poales; Poaceae
Description: long non-coding RNA (SVIR_LNC005226)
Source: RNAcentral